GAAAACCGGAUUAUGGUA
Molecule: unclassified non-coding RNA, 18 nt
Filed under: Dictyostelium discoideum
Lineage: Eukaryota; Evosea; Eumycetozoa; Dictyosteliales; Dictyosteliaceae
Source: RNAcentral